This 1077-nucleotide non-coding RNA is filed under the name Ceraceosorus bombacis. RNAcentral's name for it is "Bacterial small subunit ribosomal RNA". It matches the Rfam family "Bacterial small subunit ribosomal RNA", at positions 1 to 1179 of the family's 1533-position model. Lineage: Eukaryota; Fungi; Basidiomycota; Exobasidiomycetes; Ceraceosorales; Ceraceosoraceae. The record is from Rfam by way of RNAcentral.
UAAUAAGAGUACUUAAUCUUGGUACAGUUUGAACGUUAUCUGGUAGUUUUACUCAUGCAAGUUAUAUAGCAUACCUAAGGUGUUAUAGCGUACAGGCGAGGAUUAACAAGUAUAGUGCCUUUAAGCCCCUCUUAAAAGGAGGAUACUAAUAAAUGGAGGUUCCCGGCUUAGAGAUCAUCUUGAGUGCCAGCAGGUAAUAGCUGUGCUAACUAAUUAUUAUUUAGUUAUCUAGUACACUAACCUAUGACGGCUAGAAAGGGGUGUUAACCUUACUUUCCGCAACCGGUUUGAGAGUAAUCGGUCAUAUCAAUAGAUAUGCUGCAGAGGAGAAUCUUGGGCAAUGCUCUAUGGAGUGACCCAGCUAACCAGAACCCCAUAUCUAGUAAGGUAGCUUAACUAUUUUUAACUAGAGGUAGGGUACACGUAUGUUAAUAUUGAUAGCAUACAUAACCAGUCUAAUCUAAGUCUCGUGCCAGCAGACGCGGUUAUACGAACUAGGCUAACGUUAAAUGGUUUCAAUAGGUAUUAAGGAUCCGUAGGCGGUAUAUUAUUACUAUAGUCAAAUAGAAGACAAUGGAAUACUGGGAGUAGAGUUGAUAUUCAUUGAUACCCAGUGGACCACUCAUGGCGAAGGCAAUUGUCUAGGUAUGACUGAAGCUGAGGGAUGAAAGUUAAGGUAGCAAAAUGGAUUAGAUACCCAAGUAGUCUUAACUGUAAACUAUUUACACCUAUCUGUUGUCUAUAAAGGUAUACUUUAUUAUUAAUAGACAGCUUGACAGCCAACUGCUGUAUGUGUAACACCUUGUAAGUACAGUCCCAAGACUGAAAGCAAAAAGAUUAGACCAUCCCUAAGACCCGGAGUGGAGCAUGUUGUUUAAUUCGAUAAUCCGCGAAGAACCUUACCUCUCCUUGUAUAAUACAAAAUCAAUAGUUACUACUAUUAGUGUAUUACAGGUAUUGCAUGGCUAUCGUCAGUUCGUGUCGUAAGAUGUUAGGUUGAUUCCGCUAACGAACGUAACCCCGAGUACGUAUUGAUACUAUGUACUGUGAUGCUAAUAAAGCACACCAUAGUUGGGC